UACGGAGGGGGCGAGUGUUGUUCGGAAUUACUGGGCGUAAAGGGCGCGCAGGCGGCAUGGCAAGUCGAGUGUGAAAUCCCUUGGCUUAACUGAGGAAUGGCGCUCGAAACUACCGCGCUGGAGGGCGGGAGAGGGAAGUGGAACUCUCGGUGUAGGGGUGAAAUCUGUAGAUAUCGAGAGGAACACCGGUGGCGAAGGCGGCUUCCUGGCCCGUACCUGACGCUGAGGCGCGAAAGCGUGGGGAGCAAACAGG
This 253-nucleotide ribosomal RNA is filed under the name uncultured bacterium. RNAcentral's name for it is "partial 16S ribosomal RNA". It matches the Rfam family "Bacterial small subunit ribosomal RNA", at positions 524 to 776 of the family's 1533-position model. The record is from RNAcentral.